CCAUUUAACUAUUUAUUUGACCAUGCCAAACCCCACAAAGCCAAUGUAAUCAAACAAAUACUUCUGAUUUUAUUUAAUACUUUGAAUAAUGAAAAACUUUAUACAACUAAGGAAGAAAAAAAUACAAGGUUAUUUGACCAUUGCAUCGAGGGCUAUUUGACCACUCAAUUUUAACAUCUCCCACUUGGCCAAUUAGGCCGAGAUCAUUAUUCUUUAAUACCCA
Molecule: long non-coding RNA, 223 nt
Filed under: Elaeis guineensis (African oil palm)
Lineage: Eukaryota; Viridiplantae; Streptophyta; Magnoliopsida; Arecales; Arecaceae
Description: long non-coding RNA (EGUI_LNC034458)
Source: RNAcentral